RNAcentral lists this ribosomal RNA (201 nucleotides) under uncultured bacterium. RNAcentral describes it as "partial 16S ribosomal RNA". It matches the Rfam family "Bacterial small subunit ribosomal RNA", at positions 524 to 725 of the family's 1533-position model. The record is from RNAcentral.
UACGUAGGGUGCAAGCGUUGUCCGGAAUUAUUGGGCGUAAAGAGCUCGUAGGCGGUUUGUCGCGUCUGGUGUGAAAAUCAGGGCUUAACCCUGGACCUGCAUCGGGUACGGGCAGACUAGAGUGCGGUAGGGGAGAUCGGAAUUCCUGGUGUAGCGGUGAAAUGCGCAGAUAUCAGGAGGAACACCGGUGGCGAAGGCGGA